GUGAAGAACGCAGCGAAAUGCGAUAAGUAAUGUGAAUUGCAGAAUUCAGUGAAUCAUCGAAUCUUUGAACGCACCUUGCGCCCUUUGGCCAUUCCGAAGGGCAUGCCUGUUUGAGUAUCAUGAACACCUCAACUCUUCAUGGUUUUCCGUGAUGAGCUUGGACUUUGGGGGUCUUGCUGGCCUAUGGUCAGCUCCUCUAAAAUAAAUCAGCUUGCCAGUGUUUGGUGGGUAUCACAGGUGUGAUAACUAUCUACGCUUGUGGUUUUCCACCAGGUAACCUUCAGCAGUGGAGGUUCGCUGGAGCUCACAGAUGUGUCUCUCCUCAGUGAGGACAGCUCUUUGAAUGUUUGAUCUCAAAUCAGGUAGGACUACCCGCUGAACUUAAGCAUAUCAAUAAGCGGAGGA
This 405-nucleotide unclassified non-coding RNA is filed under the name soil metagenome. Its description in RNAcentral is "partial contains 5.8S ribosomal RNA, internal transcribed spacer 2, and large subunit ribosomal RNA". The stretch from base 2 to 120 matches the Rfam family "5.8S ribosomal RNA", at positions 37 to 154 of the family's 154-position model. The record is from RNAcentral.